GGGACACAGAUAGAUGGAGUAUAAAGUAUUCAAUCUGUGGGCUUAUAGAUGGGGGGAUACAGAUAGAUGGAGUUUGAAGUAUUCAGUCUGUGGGCUUAAAGAUGAGGGGAUACAGAUGGAGUAUGAAGUAUUCAGUCUGUGGGCUUAUAGAUGAAGGGACACCGAUAGAUGGAGUAUAAAGGCUUCAGUCUGUGGGCUUAUAGAUGAGGGGAUACAGAUGGAUGGAGUAUAAAAUAUUCAGUAUGUGGGCUUAUAGAUGAGGGGAUACAGAUGGAUGGAGUAUAAAUUAUUCAGUCUGUGGGCUUAUAGAUGAGGGGAUACAGAUAGAUCUGUGUUCUUAUAGAUGAGGGGACACAGGUAGAUGGAGUUUAAAGUAUUCAGUCUGUGGGCUUAUAGAUGAGGGGAUACAGAUGGAGUAUAAAGUAUUCAGUCUGUGGGCUUAAAGAUGAGGGGAUACAUAUAUAUUGAGUAUAACAUAUUCAGUCUGUGGGCUUAUAGAUGAGGGGAUGCAGAUAGAUGGAGUAUAACAUUUUCAGUCUGUGGGCUUAUAGAUGAGGGGACACAGAUAGAUGGAGUAUAAAGUAUUCAAUCUGUGGGCUUAUAGAUGGGGGGAUACAGAUAGAUGGAGUUUGAAGUAUUCAGUCUGUGGGCUUAAAGAUGAGGGGAUACAGAUGGAGUAUGA
Long non-coding RNA from Oncorhynchus tshawytscha (Chinook salmon), 682 nucleotides. NCBI's taxonomy places the organism in Eukaryota, Metazoa, Chordata, Actinopteri, Salmoniformes, Salmonidae. The record is from Ensembl.